CAAGAAGAAACACAACAUUAUUCUAGGGAAUUGUUAAUGCAACGAGUCUCAAUCACACCGACAGUCCGUUGUUUGAUGAGGAAAGAAUUGAGGAAAAGUAAAAAAAUCUAGGACCCAAGUGAAAAAUCAGGGGUUUAGGCUGGGCCCCACGCUCAGCCUGAGCUCAGCAUGGCCCUAUCACUACAUGCUCAAGUCCGAGACACCCACAAGGGAAGAUUUUCAAAGGAUAUCAGUGCAUCCUUCAUUGCCUUGAUUCUGAAGAAAGAUGGACUAAAAGCCCUAAAGAUUUCAUACCCAUAAGUUUUAUCAGGGUCUAUACAAGAUUUUUGUGAACAUUCUGGCUUCAAGGUUGUGCAGAGUGUUGUUUGGUGUGAUAUCCAAGUGGUAAGGUACAUGUGUGUGGUAGACAGAUUCUGGAUGGGCUGGUGUUAGCUGCUUUCAGUUGGGUGGAACACUACAAUAGAACAUUUUGUAAAUAAGCAGUUUUCCAGAAGGUGUUUCUUAGGGCAAGGUUGCAAGUGUUGGUUGGAUAUGCCUAUUCCUUGAGUGGUUUGUAGAGAUGUCCGUCAAGUUUUCUGAUCAUUGUUGAGGAGCCACCAAGAUUUCUUGUCCAUUCUCUUCUUUUUCUUUUUCUUUUUUUUUGCUUUUGUUUUUUCCUUUCAUUAAUUUUUUUUAUAUCUUCCAUGUUAAAAGACGUACUGUUACUUGGCUGUUACAUCUGCAAUGAUAGAUCUUCGGCCAUAUAAUCUGCAACAUGGUGUCUGGUGUUCAAUCCUGGGACAGGUUGAAUGCUUAUUCCAUUCAAAGGAGACAUGAAAUCAUACAUGUAUCCUUUAUUAUGUGGAGGAUUUAUAAUUAAAAAAAGAAAGAA
Molecule: long non-coding RNA, 871 nt
Organism: Magnolia sinica
Lineage: Eukaryota; Viridiplantae; Streptophyta; Magnoliopsida; Magnoliales; Magnoliaceae
Exons: 2
Source: RefSeq, a predicted model, not a curated record